UACGUGGGGUGCAAGCGUUGUCCGGAAUUAUUGGGCGUAAAGAGCUCGUAGGCGGUUCGUCGCGUCGGCUGUGAAAACCCGGAGCUCAACUCCGGGCCUGCAGUCGAUACGGGCGGACUUGAGUGUUGCAGGGGAGACUGGAAUUCCUGGUGUAGCGGUGAAAUGCGCAGAUAUCAGGAGGAACACCGGUGGCGAAGGCGGGUCUCUGGGCAACUACUGACGCUGAGGAGCGAAAGCGUGGGGAGCGAACAGG
This 253-nucleotide ribosomal RNA is filed under the name uncultured bacterium. Its description in RNAcentral is "partial 16S ribosomal RNA". It matches the Rfam family "Bacterial small subunit ribosomal RNA", at positions 524 to 776 of the family's 1533-position model. The record is from RNAcentral.